Molecule: ribosomal RNA, 800 nt
Filed under: Flavobacterium oncorhynchi
Lineage: Bacteria; Pseudomonadati; Bacteroidota; Flavobacteriia; Flavobacteriales; Flavobacteriaceae
Description: bacterial SSU rRNA
Rfam family: Bacterial small subunit ribosomal RNA
Source: RNAcentral
UGCAAGUCGAGGGGUAUAUGUCUUCGGAUAUAGAGACCGGCGCACGGGUGCGUAACGCGUAUGCAAUCUACCUUUUACAGAGGGAUAGCCCAGAGAAAUUUGGAUUAAUACCUCAUAGUAUUAUUGAGUGGCAUCACUUAAUAAUUAAAGUCACAACGGUAAAAGAUGAGCAUGCGUCCCAUUAGCUAGUUGGUAAGGUAACGGCUUACCAAGGCAACGAUGGGUAGGGGUCCUGAGAGGGAGAUCCCCCACACUGGUACUGAGACACGGACCAGACUCCUACGGGAGGCAGCAGUGAGGAAUAUUGGACAAUGGGCGCAAGCCUGAUCCAGCCAUGCCGCGUGCAGGAUGACGGUCCUAUGGAUUGUAAACUGCUUUUGUACGAGAAGAAACACUGCUUCGUGAAGCAGCUUGACGGUAUCGUAAGAAUAAGGAUCGGCUAACUCCGUGCCAGCAGCCGCGGUAAUACGGAGGAUCCAAGCGUUAUCCGGAAUCAUUGGGUUUAAAGGGUCCGUAGGCGGUUUAGUAAGUCAGUGGUGAAAGCCCAUCGCUCAACGGUGGAACGGCCAUUGAUACUGCUGAACUUGAAUUAUUAGGAAGUAACUAGAAUAUGUAGUGUAGCGGUGAAAUGCUUAGAGAUUACAUGGAAUACCAAUUGCGAAGGCAGGUUACUACUAAUUGAUUGACGCUGAUGGACGAAAGCGUGGGGAGCGAACAGGAUUAGAUACCCUGGUAGUCCACGCCGUAAACGAUGGAUACUAGCUGUUGGGAGCAAUCUCAGUGGCUAAGCGAAAGUGAUA